GAUGAACGCUGGCGGCGUGCCUAAUACAUGCAAGUCGAGCGAACAGAUGAGGAGCUUGCUCCUCUGACGUUAGCGGCGGACGGGUGAGUAACACGUGGAUAACCUACCUAUAAGACUGGGAUAACUUCGGGAAACCGGAGCUAAUACCGGAUAAUAUAUUGAACCGCAUGGUUCAAUAGUGAAAGACGGUUUUGCUGUCACUUAUAGAUGGAUCCGCGCCGCAUUAGCUAGUUGGUAAGGUAACGGCUUACCAAGGCGACGAUGCGUAGCCGACCUGAGAGGGUGAUCGGCCACACUGGAACUGAGACACGGUCCAGACUCCUACGGGAGGCAGCAGUAGGGAAUCUUCCGCAAUGGGCGAAAGCAUGACGGAGCAACGCCGCGUGAGUGAUGAAGGUCUUCGGAUCGUAAAACUCUGUUAUUAGGGAAGAACAAAUGUGUAAGUAACUAUGCACGUCUUGACGGUACCUAAUCAGAAAGCCACGGCUAACUACGUG
Molecule: ribosomal RNA, 497 nt
Filed under: uncultured bacterium
Lineage: Bacteria
Description: partial 16S ribosomal RNA
Rfam family: Bacterial small subunit ribosomal RNA
Source: RNAcentral